GCAAGUCGAGGGGUAACAGGGAGCUUGCUCCGCUGACGACCGGCGCACGGGUGCGUAACGCGUAUAGAAUCUGCCAUGUACAUGAGGAUAGCCUUUAGAAAUGAAGAUUAAUACUCCAUAAUGUUAAAACUUGGCAUCAAGAUUUAAUUAAAGAUUUAUCGGUACAUGAUGACUAUGCGUCCUAUUAGCUAGAUGGUAAGGUAACGGCUUACCAUGGCAACGAUAGGUAGGGGCCCUGAGAGGGGGAUC
Molecule: ribosomal RNA, 249 nt
Filed under: uncultured bacterium
Lineage: Bacteria
Description: partial 16S ribosomal RNA
Rfam family: Bacterial small subunit ribosomal RNA
Source: RNAcentral